AUGGAUACCGGUGCAACAAAUCAUAUCACGGGUGAAUUGGAGAAGCUAACAAUGCAUGAGAAGUAUCGUGGCAGUGAUCAAGUCUACACUGCAGCAAACGGUGCACGUAUGGAGAUAAGUCAUAUUGGUCAAUCAUAUAUCAAAACCCCAUACAAAAACCUUGAAAUAAAAGAUAUCUUGCAUGUGCCUAAUGCUUCCAAAACUCUCUUAUCUGUUCAUCGCAUUGCCCUUGAUAACAAUGUCUUUUUAGAAUUUCACCCAUUCUUCUUUUUGAUCAAGGAUCAGGUCAUGAAGGAAAUUCUCCAUAGGGGUGUCUGUGUGGAAGGACUCUAUUCAUUUCUUCCUAAGUAUUGCUCAUACAAUAAAAGAGUUUAUGGUGCCAUCAAGCUUUCCGCUGAAAGGUGGCACAGUCGCUUAGGUCAUCCAUCGUUUGCUACUGUUCAUCAAAUCCUUAGUAGAAAUAAACUCCCAGUUGUUGGUGAGAGAAAUUUAGAGACUGUUUGUUAUUCAUGCUAG
This 516-nucleotide ribosomal RNA is filed under the name Triticum aestivum (bread wheat). RNAcentral describes it as "partial small subunit ribosomal RNA". The record is from RNAcentral. Lineage: Eukaryota; Viridiplantae; Streptophyta; Magnoliopsida; Poales; Poaceae.